This is a long non-coding RNA of Schistocerca cancellata (South American locust), 711 nucleotides long. RefSeq lists it as uncharacterized. The record is from RefSeq and is a predicted model, not a curated record. The transcript is spliced from 3 exons. Lineage: Eukaryota; Metazoa; Arthropoda; Insecta; Orthoptera; Acrididae.
UUUCCAUUCAGCUGCAAGUAGUUUCAGAUCAUAACCGACGGAUUAGUGACUUCGCCGGCUAUCCGGGCUCUGUGCAUGACGGGAGUGUGUUCAGGACGCCCACACUCUACCAAACGCUCGAAGAAAAGUGUGGAGAUUUUCAUCUUUUGACAGUGCCUAUCCCUUCACAAGAAAUUUAUUAACACCGUUCAGAAAUACAGGGCAUUUCUCCAGUGCAAUGUGACUUCGAUAUGGCACUCUCGAAAAACAGGUGUGUUGUAGAACAUUGCUUUGGCCUGUUGAAGCAGCGUUUUAGACAAUUAGACCAGCUGAAAUUGAGGAGUUUUAAAGAGAUGGCGCACUUCAUCCGACGUGCUGUGUGCUCCACAAUCUCGCCGUGGAAGAUAACUUGGAGUUAGAUGACAAAGGUGAAGAAGAUGAUGCACCAGCUGAAGAACCAACAUUGAUGACAGAAGUGGCAUUGCAAAGAGGAACAUGAUUGGAGCGCAGUUGCAAAUGUGCAAGCAACACCAGAUGCCCCAUCACCAACAUUUGGCAACAAAUAUCGUAUCAUUGAUGUGGAUGUUAGGGUGUGCUGUCACGAACUACACACCAGAGCUGAAGGUGAAGGAAGCCAACUGCAGGCUAUGGAGGAAGAAUAGAGGCCUGUCCCAGAAUAAUCAACAGCUAAGACAUGUAAAGGGAAGUAAAAGUUUUAGACACAUCAAAGGA